AUAAUCAUUAUACAUGUUAGUGGGCGAUUGGCCUUUGAGCACGGUGAAUUCUUUGAGCGCGAUAAGGUUACCAGGACAGAGUGAACCGAGAUCGAAACAAUACUGAAAAAUCGCCUUCUUGUCGCUUGUUCCUUUCUCGAAGCAAUGACUGAGACGCAAAGAAAGAAAGACAGAGAAAGAGAGAAUAAAAAGUGAGUGAUUUAGAAGAAGAAGAA
Apis dorsata (giant honeybee) is the source of this 215-nucleotide long non-coding RNA. RefSeq lists it as uncharacterized. Lineage: Eukaryota; Metazoa; Arthropoda; Insecta; Hymenoptera; Apidae. The transcript has 2 exons. The record is from RefSeq and is a predicted model, not a curated record.